GGAGCGAUAUUACCACAGUAAUCUUACAAUCAGAGGGGGAGCUGUAGAGCAAGCUGACCUUGAAGAGUUUAACCUGCCAAUCAAAGGAGAGAUUCUGCUCCGUGACGGGCGGCGGGGCAGAACGCAGAGACCCAGAUGUGUCAGCCGGGCCCGCGAUGCGCCCGUCACUUUUCCAAACUCGACUUGACGAGAUUUAGAAGUGCUUCGUGCGACGUGGCCGGUUUCCACCGCUGAGGCCACAACGUUCUAAACCAAAUGCCCCCUUUUGCAGGAAAGCGCGACGUCACGGAAAUUAGCGGGUUUUGAGGUCACGGGACGCGCCCGUAGCAGGAGGCUUAAUCUGAGUCCUUUGACCUUCCGCCCGCGUGUCUCCAUCCGCAAAUGCGAUGCUUUGGCAACCGCCUUCCCAGCGCGGCUCCGUGCGUGCACAUAAGGCGAAGCUCUCGGUGCAUCGGCCUCCACCGGGCUCGCCAUCUGCUCGGGGGGGGGAGGACACACUUCCACUGGUCAAGCAGAGAGGAUAUUUAAAGCUCACACUCAACACUCCUCGGGGCUGUUGUUCCAUUUCGCCUCAUUUCUUCGGAUUCCUCCUCCUCAUUUCAUUUCGGUCCGACGAGCAGCCCUCAUCCUCCGCUGUCACGAGCAAAGUUUCACCACCGCGAGCUGGAAACGUUACAACGUGCCGCGAUUGGCGUUUUAGAAAAAAAGGGAGAAAUAAAGUGCAUAAAGUCUUACGGGGAGAAGCGCUGCACCUGGGGGAGUCAAAAGAAGAGGGAGCAGACAGCAGCAGCUGUGGCAUCGGUGGACGGUUUGUUCUGUAGCGACACAACUGUCUUCCUCCCCCUUCUGCUUUUGAUGGCUGCUCACUGGGGGAAUAAUUACGAACCCCAGAGAUCACUUUGAAUGUUUAACUCACCGCAUGUGGAGGCAGUCGCUCGAAAUGACAACAGCCGGGGGGGGGGGAGGGCUUAGUUUUAACGAAAGGUAAGUGCUUAAAAAUAUGCAAACUCUAGUCUGCUGAAUAGUCCUCUUGGAAAAAGCUGCUUUUAUCAUUGCACGGGCGCGUGCCUUUUCGCUGUGAUGCGCCUCUGCAGGUCACCCCGCGUCUGCAGUGAUGCCGCCCCCCCCCCCAACCCUAAAGCCACCAGGACGAGGAUCGCAAUAUCCCCGGCGUGCGGCUUUAUUCCCGCGGGGGCGUGCUGUCCCGCGCGGACGGACGCUGCCCUCUGAGCAAACAAGAUUACGGUGAUGAGCAGAGGCGGGCUGGUUUGCUCCUCGUGUCAAGGUGCUUUAGGGGUGACUCGCCGUCGGCGAAGAGGAGAAAACUUUGGAGACGAGGCGCAGUCGACCUCCGGUUCGGACGUAGUCGGCAAAUGGGGGGGGAGGUGGGGGGGGGGGGUCUCUUUAGCAGCCUUUCUAAGCGCGUGGGAAUAGUAGAUGUCGGCGUGCGUCCGGAGCGCCACCUGAGGGCGGCCUCCAUCUCGGCCCGCCGCUCCUUCAGGG
Molecule: long non-coding RNA, 1503 nt
Organism: Gasterosteus aculeatus aculeatus (three-spined stickleback)
Lineage: Eukaryota; Metazoa; Chordata; Actinopteri; Perciformes; Gasterosteidae
Source: Ensembl